GCCAUUCUGGUCUCGUGCCGCAGCAGGCAUUGCUAGAUGAUUGCCGUCAUGGCUCAUACUAACAAUAAAUAGGUCCUCCCGGGGACCCACCACCCAAACUCCUUGUGCCGGGAACAGCUACUAAAGGGGAGGCCCUUUCCAUAUUCCGCUUCAUUCUCCCCUCCUGGCGUGCCUCAAGGAACGACCACUGUCCCCAGGUUACAGGUGCUUCUUCACCCCAACAAGGCUCAAUCAAGUGUGUUCUUCUCUGGGAAGCUGCAGACAUCUGACCCCAGGCCACAGAGUCAUACCCAGUCUGGCUCCCACAGCCCUCCCAGGCUGUCUGGUGUCAGUGCAGUGCUGUGGAUGGGAACACACCUCUACCAUGUUGAGCUGCUCUGAGGUUUAAAUGCGUUACUGCUAAUUGGGAUCUUGGAACAACUCCUGGUGCAUAAUAAGGAAGCCGACAUAAAGAGAGGGAAAGCCCAAGGACACGCAGCUUUGAAGUAACAGACCCAGGAGAUGAAUGAACCUGGUCCUUCCAGCUCAAGACGUUGCACUAUUCACCACUCUGCUCAGGCACUGCAAACCAGAGGCCUGGCCACAGCUUGCCCAUGAACUCGUGUGCUUAUUUAUCUGGCUGGUAAUUGUUCACACAUGCAUGCUGUGUACACGUGUGCACACACCUACACACACACCCCUCAGGAGCAUAAGCUCCAUGCUAAUGAGCACUUCGCAUGUCUUGUUGCCGGCACGUGACUCAAAUACGUGCUUCUUACUGACUGAAUGCCUAUGCCCCUCCCCCAAACUCAUGCUGAAGCCUUAACACCUGUGGUGAGUGUAUUUGGAGACAGGGCCUUUAGUAAGUAGGUAAGGUUGAAUGAGGUCACGAGGGUGGGGUCCUGAUCCAAUAGGAUUAGUGUCUUCAACAGCAGAGACACCAGAGAACUCACUGCCCUCCCUCCAUGCAUGCACAGAGAAGAGUCCAAGUGAGGACAUUGCCAGAAGGUGGCCGUCUGCAAGCCAGGAAGGGAGCCCUCACCAGAACCCAGCCCAGACCUUGACCUGAGACUUCCAGCCUUCAGAACUGUGCAAAAAUACAUUUCUGUUGUUUGAGCCACCCAGUCCGUGGUAAUUGGUGGUGACAGCCGGAGCUGACUAAUACAGUGCUCAAUACAUUUUUGUUGUGCUGCACAGAUCUAGUUUGGUGCACACUAUUUUUAAAAAGAGAAUUUUUUUAGCUAGAAAAGAAGAGUUAUAAUGUUCCAACACAAAGAAAAGAUCAAUGUUGGAGAUGAUGGCUAUCCUUAAUACCCUGAUGUGAUCAUUACAUAUGGUAUGAGUGUAUCAAAAUAUCACAUGAACCCCCAAAAUAUGCACAACUAUUAUACACCAAUAAAGAAAUUUUUAAGAG
Molecule: long non-coding RNA, 1393 nt
Organism: Homo sapiens (human)
Lineage: Eukaryota; Metazoa; Chordata; Mammalia; Primates; Hominidae
Product: long intergenic non-protein coding RNA 1944
Source: Ensembl